AACAAAUUGACCUCGAUUUUUUUUCUUACAACAAAUAACUCAGGACUGUCGUAAAGUCGACCAAAAAGGUAGCAAAUGUAACCAAAUAAAAACUCACCGGUCAACGCGACGCGCAUUGUCGGUCAUUUCCCCUGGAGGGAUCAACUGGCAGGACAUGGACACAGGACACGAAACAGUGAGCGACCACAGAGCACGUAAAAUGUCAAUGCCCACAAAAGGAGGAAUUAAAAAUAACAAGAAACGUUGAGUCGCUGUGGUUGACUAAGUUAUACCCUGCCAAUAUUAUAAAGCAUUUAAGUAUUACAAUCCAGCAUGUGAUAAAACAAAAUUUUGAUAGUUCAAGAUCUUGUCAUAAAUCAUUUGAAAUGUAUUAUCGGACGGAUUACUAUUUUGUUUUUUGAAUACAGGGUAUGCUGUACCGCAACAGCUGAAAGUCAUAAAAGAUGCAUAUAUGUGCGUAUAGCUGCUAUGUAAUUGUAUUCUCUAUAAAUAUAACAAAAAUUGUUUAUAAAAAUGGAAUCGAGCGCUCGCCGGCUUCUUCUCGCUCGUGUGGCCCAAAA
Drosophila virilis is the source of this 560-nucleotide long non-coding RNA. RefSeq lists it as uncharacterized. NCBI's taxonomy places the organism in Eukaryota, Metazoa, Arthropoda, Insecta, Diptera, Drosophilidae. The record is from RefSeq and is a predicted model, not a curated record.